ACCCAGCUGACGAGCCCCAAAUAGGACGAAACGCGAGUCCUGGAU
This is a non-coding RNA of Schistosoma mansoni, 45 nucleotides long. NCBI's taxonomy places the organism in Eukaryota, Metazoa, Platyhelminthes, Trematoda, Strigeidida, Schistosomatidae. The record is from Rfam.